Molecule: long non-coding RNA, 956 nt
Organism: Schistocerca cancellata (South American locust)
Lineage: Eukaryota; Metazoa; Arthropoda; Insecta; Orthoptera; Acrididae
Exons: 2
Source: RefSeq, a predicted model, not a curated record
GUUGGGUGAACUUGGCAUCCUCCCCAAGUCUACUGUAGAGAAUAAAGAUCAGUAUCACUAUUCACUGCGUAAUGGAGUUGCAAUAGUUACGCUGUGAAAGCUGUGUACGAAGAAAUAGUUGUAUUGACACAAGAACAAUAGUCCACCACAAAAAAUAGUGAGAAACAUGGUGAACAGUGUGUGGAUGGCGCGACACAAAGAUGUGAUUAUAUGGCAGUGAUAAAAGCGGUAGUGCGACGUCCAGACCAGAUGCGAGGAAACGCAGAGCAGCAAAUCAUUCAUGGAGCCCAAGGACAGCAUGGCCACAGCAACUGCCAGAACGUGUCAUCACGACACAGCGGGAUGACACCAUGGAGACAGAGCGUGCGCCUCCUCUCGUCCUACCGAUGGAGCUGGACCUGCCCAUAAUGCAGCAGCUGAUGCCUUCGACAUCUGGUUAUUGGCCUCCGGUGAUGGAUGCAUACAAUCCUGGUUUUUUUCUGGUGGAUGUAUCCACCACAGCGAAGGCCGGAUGGUGGGGUACGACCGGAAGCUUGACGUCUCCUGCAGCCACAGCUUCCGGUCCACUCCAGUGUCAGCUCUUCGACCUGGCCCGCCGUUGUCGUGCUCCCUACAUGACAGCUGUCCAUCACUUUGGGAGGAGGUGGGGGAUGUUCCGGCGUAACAUGAAGUGCCAGCACAUUGGACUGGAACGUUAUAGCAGCAGAGAGGGCUGUAAGCCAAUGUCAGCCAGUAGUACACUGACUAGGACGACACCACGACAGGAGCAACCCCAUAUGAAGAGAUUCUAAGAGCUGCUCCGCCUAGCCAUGGGCACUAGAAGAUGAGCCAUCGUCCAUACACUUUAGCCAUGAUUUGUAAACUGCUUGCAUGGAAAUUGUAUAUGUAAAUAUGCAAAGUUAAGUGUUGUCAAUUUAACUUGGUGUAAUAAACUCCAUUAAUAAGACUUACUUCAA